Molecule: long non-coding RNA, 155 nt
Organism: Sebastes umbrosus (honeycomb rockfish)
Lineage: Eukaryota; Metazoa; Chordata; Actinopteri; Perciformes; Sebastidae
Exons: 3
Source: RefSeq, a predicted model, not a curated record
UGCCCUUUCUCCAGUAGAGGAAAUAUGUUGCAGUGCCCUUUAGGGUGCUCUUCUAGUGGAGAAAACAUGAUGCAGUGCCCUUAAGGUUGGCCUUAAAAUUGAGAAAAUAUGAUGCAGUGCCAUAAAGGCUGCCCUACAUGCUAGAAAACGUUCUG